RNAcentral lists this unclassified non-coding RNA (943 nucleotides) under Hevea brasiliensis (rubber tree). The record is from RNAcentral. Lineage: Eukaryota; Viridiplantae; Streptophyta; Magnoliopsida; Malpighiales; Euphorbiaceae.
UUUUUUUUUUAUUUUUUUUUUUGGAGCAUUGAUCGCAAAAGAAAAAGCAGCAAGAAGUGGAUAAUAAAGCAGGGCAAGUCCUGAAAUGAACCAAAGGGCACUUUAGGGCAUAAAGAAACGAAAUCAGGGUUCCAACUAGAUGCGCCCAUCUGUGGUAACUUUGAAACAAGAAGGGCAUGCUUUUUUGCUUGAAACGAAAAUCGAUAAAUCAAAAAGCAAAAGAUGAAACGAGGAAGAAGGCUCCAAUAAUUCACACACAAAAUCCAAAGGUCACAACAGACACUGACUUUGCUACUAACGACUAAUUAAUACAAGAGAGAAGACGAAUUCAUUGGGUUUGGGCUUAUUUUAAUUUACAUUUACAAAGAUUUACAUUAUUAAUAAAUUAUAAAUCUAUUUAAAGAAUAAUAUUUGAUUUUUUAAAAAUAAUGCGGCAACAGAAAUAAUGCCCAAAAUGGUGGGCCGUACGCCGCCGGUUAGAGGCGCCGUACAUGUGAGUGCCGGGGUGAUAAUGUACUGGAUGACAAUAGAAUGGCUUUUAAGGGCAUUUUUUAGGCAGAAGCUUUUAAAGGUGGGCUUUGAUGAGCGAUUGAUUGGUGGACGUACGUGGGUGACUUUGGUGCAGACAGAUUGGAUGUGGGAUUUCUGUCAGCUGGAUUUGAUCAUUCGGGACUUACAAUUUUCCCAGAAAGAAGAUGAUAAAAUAAAAACCAGGCCACUUUGGAUAAUAUCUGCUUGUGUAAAUCCUGGGCUUGCAUAUUUAGGGGCCCAAGAAGUUUGAGUCCCAUAUGGCCUCUCUUUGUGUUCUAACUCUAUUAGAGAUUUUUACAGCCUAAGGAACGCAAUUAUUGAACUAAGUCAGGCAUCAAACAAUUUAUCAAAACAAGAUGAUCGUAGAAGACUAUGUAUAUGAAUUCUGUUUCCACUGAAUCAUAGCCAGAGA